RNAcentral lists this ribosomal RNA (499 nucleotides) under uncultured bacterium. RNAcentral describes it as "bacterial SSU rRNA". It matches the Rfam family "Bacterial small subunit ribosomal RNA", at positions 9 to 507 of the family's 1533-position model. The record is from RNAcentral.
CGAGUUUGAUCCUGGCUCAGAUUGAACGCUGGCGGAAUGCUUUACACAUGCAAGUCGAACGGUAGAGGGGGCAACCCUUGAGAGUGGCGAACGGGUGAGUAAUAUAUCGGAACGUGCCCGGUCGUGGGGGAUAACGUAGCGAAAGCUACGCUAAUACCGCAUACGAUCUACGGAUGAAAGCGGGGGAUCGCAAGACCUCGCGCGAUUGGAGCGGCCGAUAUCAGAUUAGGUAGUUGGUGAGGUAAAGGCUCACCAAGCCAACGAUCUGUAGCUGGUCUGAGAGGACGACCAGCCACACUGGAACUGAGACACGGUCCAGACUCCUACGGGAGGCAGCAGUGGGGAAUUUUGGACAAUGGGCGCAAGCCUGAUCCAGCAAUGCCGCGUGCAGGAUGAAGGCCUUCGGGUUGUAAACUGCUUUUGUACGGAACGAAACGGUGAGCUCUAAUACAGUUUGCUAAUGACGGUACCGUAAGAAUAAGCACCGGCUAACUACGUG